Molecule: ribosomal RNA, 574 nt
Filed under: Didymium environmental sample
Lineage: Eukaryota; Evosea; Eumycetozoa; Physariida; Didymiaceae
Description: bacterial SSU rRNA
Rfam family: Eukaryotic small subunit ribosomal RNA
Source: RNAcentral
UAUGCUUCUCCUAAAGACUAAGCCAUGCAUGUCUUCGAAUAAGAGGAAGCAAUUCUCUCUGAAUCUGCGAACGGCUCCGCAAACCAGUUGUAAACUAUAGCAAGCUCGCUCACGUUCCCCCUUCACGGGGGGAGUCUGGGUAAUAGGGAUAACCCUGGUAAUUCUGAGGCUAAUACCACCACGUAAAACCUGGCCGACCGGGCAACCGGAAAGCUGGGGGGCGUGCGAGUGUUUUCGCGAGGUUUACCGGGAAAGGACGCACGUCUCGACCGCGCAAAACGGAUGACCGGGCCCUCGGGCUCGGGCUUCUAGCGGCUCUUGCUGUGUGCUUCUGACCUAUCAACUAGAUGGCAGCGUAAGGGACAUGCUAUGGUGACAACGGGUACAGAGGAUUAGGGUUCGAUCCUGGAGAGUGGGCCUGAGAGAUUGCUCAUACUUCUAAGGAAGGCAGCAGGCGCGCAACGUUCCCAUUGGACAUCGUCCGAGGGCGUUAGGGGACAUAUGAAUGUCUGCCCAUUGGGUGGACAAUUCAAAUGGUCUGUUCUAAACAGGCUCUCGAGUAACAAUUAGAGGA